ACGGAGAGUUUGAUCCUGGCUCAGAACGAACGCUGGCGGCGUGGAUUAGGCAUGCAAGUCGAACGAUCCCGCAAGGGAUAGUGGCGAAAGGGUGCGUAACACGUGGGCAAUCUGCCCCCGAAACGGGAAUAACUUCGGGAAACCGAAGCUAAUACCUGAUGACACCGAGCUGCCGCAUGGUGGCACGGUGAAAGGCGUCCGCAAGGGUGCCGAUCGGGGAUGAGCCCGCGGCCUAUCAGCUAGUUGGUGAGGUAACGGCCCACCAAGGCGAUGACGGGUAGCCGGCCUGAGAGGGUGGUCGGCCACAUUGGGACUGAGACACUGCCCAGACUCCUACGGGAGGCUGCAGUCGAGGAUCUUCCGCAAUGGGGGAAACCCUGACGGAGCGACGCCGCGUGGAGGAUGAAGGCCUUCGGGUCGUAAACUCCUGUCAGUCUGGAAGAAAAUCUGCAGCAAUGUGGAUUGACCGUACAGGCAGAGGAAGCUCCGGCUAACUCCGUGCCAGCAGCCGCGGUAAUACGGAGGGAGCGAGCGUUGUUCGGAAUCAUUGGGCGUAAAGGGCAUGUAGGCGGCUCUGUAAGUCGGGUGUGAAAUCCCAUCUCUCAAGGGUGGAACGGCAUUCGAAACUGCAGGGCUUGAGUUCGGGGGAAGAGAGCGGAAUUCUCGGUGUAGCGGUGAUAUGCGUAGAUAUCGAGAAGAACACCAGCGGCGUAAGCGGCUCUCUAUCCUGAAACUGACGCUGAGGUGCGAAAGCCAGGGGAGCGAACGGGAUUAGAUACCCCGGUAGUCCUGGCCAUAAACGAUGUGCACUUGGUGUUGGGCCGCGAGGCUCAGUGCCGAAGCUAACGCAUUAAGUGCACCGCCUGGGGAGUACGACCGCAAGGUUGAAACUCAAAGGAAUUGACGGGGGCCCGCACAAGCGGUGGAGCAUGUGGCUUAAUUCGACGCAACGCGAAGAACCUUACCGGGGUUUGACAUGCAGCUGCUCAUCCUGCGAAAGCAGGACUCCUUCGAGGGUGCUGCACAGGUGCUGCAUGGCUGUCGUCAGCUCGUGCCGUGAGGUGUUGGGUUAAGUCCCGCAACGAGCGCAACCCUUGUCCUUAGUUGCUAACACGAAAGGUGAGCACUCUAAGGAGACUGCCCCAGUCAAUGGGGAGGAAGGUGGGGAUGACGUCAAGUCAUCAUGGCCCUUAUAUCCCGGGCUGCACACGUGCUACAAUGGCCGGUACAAUGGGUAGCGACACCGCGAGGUGGAGCCAAUCUCAAAAACCGGUCUCAGUUCGGAUUGAAGUCUGCAACUCGACUUCAUGAAGCUGGAAUCGCUAGUAAUGGCGGAUCAGCUACGCCGCCGUGAAUACGUUCCCGGGCCUUGUACACACCGCCCGUCACAUCACGAAAGCUGGCUGUACCCGAAGUCGCUGUACCGACCCCGCAAGGGGAGGAAGGUGCCGAAGGUAUGGUCAGUGAUUGGGAUGAAGUCGUAACAAGGUAGCCGUAUCGGAAGGUGCGGCUGGAUCACCUCCUUUCUAAGGA
Molecule: ribosomal RNA, 1533 nt
Filed under: Chlamydiota bacterium
Lineage: Bacteria; Pseudomonadati; Chlamydiota
Description: bacterial SSU rRNA
Rfam family: Bacterial small subunit ribosomal RNA
Source: RNAcentral